This 394-nucleotide long non-coding RNA is filed under the name Brachypodium distachyon (stiff brome). Its description in RNAcentral is "long non-coding RNA (BDIS_LNC001312)". Lineage: Eukaryota; Viridiplantae; Streptophyta; Magnoliopsida; Poales; Poaceae. The record is from RNAcentral.
CAGAAAUUUGUGAAUGGCGGCGGCGACAAAAUAAAAUAGUCGGGCCAAAAUGGCCGGGCCGGUCCGUUUGCUCCCUUUUUUUUCUUUUACCCUUUUCUUUUUCUGUUUUUCUUAUUCCUUUGAUAUCUUUUGGUUUUGAACUCCAAAUUGGUCCAAAUAAAUCCCAGAAAAUUUGUAAAAUCAUGUUCCACCAUGAUACAACUUUUGGGAGUAUUUUCCCCUCAAAAUAAAAUAUAUAGAAGUACAUUUGCCCUAUAAAUGCCUUUAGGGCUAUAUAUCCAUUUAAACAAAAUACUUUUCAACUCCAAAUAAUUAUCCAAAAACUAUGGGAUAGCUUAUAUAUGCAUUAAACCCCUUUUAUGCAUAAACCCUAUUGGUUUGAAAAUUCCAAAGC